RNAcentral lists this ribosomal RNA (429 nucleotides) under Gemmatimonadota bacterium. Its description in RNAcentral is "Gemmatimonadetes bacterium partial 16S ribosomal RNA". It matches the Rfam family "Bacterial small subunit ribosomal RNA", at positions 355 to 776 of the family's 1533-position model. The record is from RNAcentral. Lineage: Bacteria; Pseudomonadati; Gemmatimonadota.
UAGGGAAUCUUCGGCAAUGGACGAAAGUCUGACCGAGCAACGCCGCGUGAGUGAAGAAGGUUUUCGGAUCGUAAAACUCUGUUGUUAGAGAAGAACAAGGACGUUAGUAACUGAACGUCCCCUGACGGUAUCUAACCAGAAAGCCACGGCUAACUACGUGACAGCAGCCGCGGUAAUACGUAGGUGGCAAGCGUUGUCCGGAUUUAUUGGGCGUAAAGCGAGCGCAGGCGGUUUCUUAAGUCUGAUGUGAAAGCCCCCGGCUCAACCGGGGAGGGUCAUUGGAAACUGGGAGACUUGAGUGCAGAAGAGGAGAGUGGAAAUCCAAGUGUAGCGGUGAAAUGCGUAGAUAUAUGGAGGAACACCAGUGGCGAAGGCGGCUCUCUGGUCUGUAACUGAAGCUGAGGAUCGAAAGCGUGGGGAGCAAACAGG